Molecule: ribosomal RNA, 1171 nt
Filed under: Bacillus cereus
Lineage: Bacteria; Bacillati; Bacillota; Bacilli; Caryophanales; Bacillaceae
Description: bacterial LSU rRNA
Rfam family: Bacterial large subunit ribosomal RNA
Source: RNAcentral
CGCUGCCAAGAAAAGCUUCUAGCGAGAUAAAAGGUGCCUGUACCGCAAACCGACACAGGUAGGCGAGGAGAGAAUCCUAAGGUGUGCGAGAGAACUCUGGUUAAGGAACUCGGCAAAAUGACCCCGUAACUUCGGGAGAAGGGGUGCUUUCUUAACGGAAAGCCGCAGUGAAUAGGCCCAAGCGACUGUUUAGCAAAAACACAGCUCUCUGCGAAGCCGUAAGGCGAAGUAUAGGGGGUGACACCUGCCCGGUGCUGGAAGGUUAAGGAGAGGGGUUAGCGUAAGCGAAGCUCUGAACUGAAGCCCCAGUAAACGGCGGCCGUAACUAUAACGGUCCUAAGGUAGCGAAAUUCCUUGUCGGGUAAGUUCCGACCCGCACGAAAGGUGUAACGAUUUGGGCACUGUCUCAACCAGAGACUCGGUGAAAUUAUAGUACCUGUGAAGAUGCAGGUUACCCGCGACAGGACGGAAAGACCCCGUGGAGCUUUACUGUAGCCUGAUAUUGAAUUUUGGUACAGUUUGUACAGGAUAGGCGGGAGCCAUUGAAACCGGAGCGCUAGCUUCGGUGGAGGCGCUGGUGGGAUACCGCCCUGACUGUAUUGAAAUUCUAACCUACGGGUCUUAUCGACCCGGGAGACAGUGUCAGGUGGGCAGUUUGACUGGGGCGGUCGCCUCCUAAAGUGUAACGGAGGCGCCCAAAGGUUCCCUCAGAAUGGUUGGAAAUCAUUCGUAGAGUGCAAAGGCAUAAGGGAGCUUGACUGCGAGACCUACAAGUCGAGCAGGGACGAAAGUCGGGCUUAGUGAUCCGGUGGUUCCGCAUGGAAGGGCCAUCGCUCAACGGAUAAAAGCUACCCCGGGGAUAACAGGCUUAUCUCCCCCAAGAGUCCACAUCGACGGGGAGGUUUGGCACCUCGAUGUCGGCUCAUCGCAUCCUGGGGCUGUAGUCGGUCCCAAGGGUUGGGCUGUUCGCCCAUUAAAGCGGUACGCGAGCUGGGUUCAGAACGUCGUGAGACAGUUCGGUCCCUAUCCGUCGUGGGCGUAGGAAAUUUGAGAGGAGCUGUCCUUAGUACGAGAGGACCGGGAUGGACGCACCGCUGGUGUACCAGUUGUUCUGCCAAGGGCAUAGCUGGGUAGCUAUGUGCGGAAGGGAUAAGUGCUGAAAGCAUCUAAG